GAAAACCUUAAAACAAGGUACAAGAACUGAAAAAAUCCCAAAACUGGGUCAGGCACCGACUGUGGGGAGGAGACAGCAGCUACCUGGCAGUACUACCAGGACAUGCACGAUGUUCUGGGUGGUCGACCAUCAAUUGACCCUCCUCUGCUGGUGGCAUCCCUCACACCACCUGGGGACCCUACCAGACUUCUAAUGGAAAUUGUUGACGGUCCCACCACAUCUGCCUCCUCCACUGCCUCCACUUCCUCCUCGUCCACUGACUCCUCCUCAACUGCCUCUUCGAUGGACCCUGCUCAGUCUCCCUCAAGCCCCACAACCCCUUCACCUGCCAAAAAAAGGAGGAAAGGAAACCCCAUAUUGGAUUUUUUGAAGGCAGAGAGUGAGA
Long non-coding RNA from Lampris incognitus (smalleye Pacific opah), 385 nucleotides. RefSeq lists it as uncharacterized. The transcript is spliced from 3 exons. Lineage: Eukaryota; Metazoa; Chordata; Actinopteri; Lampriformes; Lampridae. The record is from RefSeq and is a predicted model, not a curated record.